UAACACGUAUGCAACCUGCCCUCUUCAGGGGGACAACCUUCCGAAAGGGAGGCUAAUCCCGCGUAUAUCGGUUUCGGGCAUCCGAGAUCGAGGAAAGAUUCAUCGGAAGAGGAUGGGCAUGCGGCGCAUUAGCUUGACGGCGGGGUAACGGCCCACCGUGGCGACGAUGCGUAGGGGUUCUGAGAGGAAGGUCCCCCACACUGGUACUGAGACACGGACCAGACUCCUACGGGAGGCAGCAGUGAGGAAUAUUGGUCAAUGGGAGAGAUCCUGAACCAGCCAAGCCGCGUGAGGGAAGACGGCCCUAUGGGUUGUAAACCUCUUUUGUCGGAGAACAAAACCCGGGACGUGUCCCGGACUGCGUGUAUCCGAAGAAAAAGCAUCGGCUAACUCCGUGCCAGCAGCCGCGGUAAUACGGAGGAUGCGAGCGUUAUCCGGAUUUAUUGGGUUUAAAGGGUGCGUAGGCGGUCCGUUAAGUCAGCGGUAAAAUUGCGGGGCUCAACCCCGUCGAGCCGUUGAAACUGGCAGACUUGAGUUGGCGAGAAGUACGCGGAAUGCGCGGUGUAGCGGUGAAAUGCAUAGAUAUCGCGCAGAACUCCGAUUGCGAAGGCAGCGUACCGGCGCCACACUGACGCUGAGGCACGAAAGCGUGGGGAUCGAACAGGAUUAGAUACCCUGGUAGUCCACGCAGUAAACGAUGAAUGCUGGUU
RNAcentral lists this ribosomal RNA (710 nucleotides) under uncultured bacterium. RNAcentral describes it as "bacterial SSU rRNA". It matches the Rfam family "Bacterial small subunit ribosomal RNA", at positions 111 to 821 of the family's 1533-position model. The record is from RNAcentral.